This 253-nucleotide ribosomal RNA is filed under the name uncultured bacterium. Its description in RNAcentral is "partial 16S ribosomal RNA". It matches the Rfam family "Bacterial small subunit ribosomal RNA", at positions 524 to 776 of the family's 1533-position model. The record is from RNAcentral.
GACGAACCGUGCGAACGUUAUUCGGAAUCACUGGGCUUAAAGGGCGCGUAGGCGGGCCACCAAGUCAGGGGUGAAACCCCACGGCUCAACCGUGGAAGUGCCCUUGAUACUGGUGGCCUCGAGGGAGGUAGGGGCGUGCGGAACUUCCGGUGGAGCGGUGAAAUGCGUAGAUAUCGGAAGGAACACCGGUGGCGAAAGCGGCGCGCUGGACCUCUUCUGACGCUGAGGCGCGAAAGCCAGGGGAGCAAACGGG